RNAcentral lists this ribosomal RNA (586 nucleotides) under uncultured bacterium. Its description in RNAcentral is "bacterial SSU rRNA". It matches the Rfam family "Bacterial small subunit ribosomal RNA", at positions 107 to 692 of the family's 1533-position model. The record is from RNAcentral.
UGAGUAACACGUAUCCAACCUACCGAUAACUCGGGGAUAGCCUUUCGAAAGAAAGAUUAAUAUCCGAUGGUAUAUUAAAACCGCAUGGUUUUACUAUUAAAGAAUUUCGGUUAUCGAUGGGGAUGCGUUCCAUUAGUUUGUUGGCGGGGUAACGGCCCACCAAGACUACGAUGGAUAGGGGUUCUGAGAGGAAGGUCCCCCACAUUGGAACUGAGACACGGUCCAAACUCCUACGGGAGGCAGCAGUGAGGAAUAUUGGUCAAUGGACGAGAGUCUGAACCAGCCAAGUAGCGUGAAGGAUGACUGCCCUAUGGGUUGUAAACUUCUUUUAUAUGGGAAUAAAGUAUUCCACGUGUGGAAUUUUGUAUGUACCAUAUGAAUAAGGAUCGGCUAACUCCGUGCCAGCAGCCGCGGUAAUACGGAGGAUCCGAGCGUUAUCCGGAUUUAUUGGGUUUAAAGGGAGCGUAGGUGGAUUGUUAAGUCAGUUGUGAAAGUUUGCGGCUCAACCGUAAAAUUGCAGUUGAAACUGGCAGUCUUGAGUACAGUAGAGGUGGGCGGAAUUCGUGGUGUAGCGGUGAAAUGCUUA